RNAcentral lists this ribosomal RNA (703 nucleotides) under uncultured fungus. RNAcentral's name for it is "eukaryotic LSU rRNA". The stretch from base 280 to 430 matches the Rfam family "5.8S ribosomal RNA". Lineage: Eukaryota; Fungi. The record is from RNAcentral.
CUUGGUCAUUUAGAGGAAGUAAAAGUCGUAAAAGGUUUCCGUAGGUGAACCUGCGGAAGGAUCAUUAUUGAAUACGUUGGACUGUUGCUGGCUCUUCACUGAGCAUGUGCACGUCCAUCUAUUUAUCUUUCUUGUGCACCUUUUGUAGUCUUUUUCUGAAAAAGAGCGAGCAGAGGCAUCUGCUUUUGCUCUUUUUCAGAGGGGCUACGUUUUCAUAUACACUAUUAAGUUACAGAAUGUCUUUUAAAGAUUGUGCUAGCCGCAGUCAUUAAACCUUACAACUUUCAGCAACGGAUCUCUUGGCUCUCCCAUCGAUGAAGAACGCGCGAAAUGCGAUAAGUAAUGUGAAUUGCAGAAUUCAGUGAAUCAUCGAACUUUGAACGCACCUUGCGCCCUUUGGUAUUCCGAAGGGCAUGCCUGUUUAGUGUCAUUAAAUUAUCAACCUUUUUGCUUUGCUUGCGAAGCAUCUAGGUUGGAUGUGGGGGUUUUUGCUGGCUUCCUUCAGUGGAUGGUCUGCUCCCUUAAAUGCAUUAGCGGGAUCUCUUGUGGACCGUCACUUGGUGUGAUAAUAUCUAUACCACUUGGCCUUGAAGCAAAUCUUAUGAGGACCCGCUCAUAACGUCCCUCUGGGACAACUCUUGACAUUUUGACCUCAAAUCAGGUAGGACACCCGCUGAACUUAAGCAUAUCAAUAAGCGGAGGA